CACCCCCAUCACACCCCUCUCCUCACUUUGUCUCUAGCAUAAACCAAAAGAAACCCUAGCCGACUCAUAUCCCCAAGCCUCAUCCACCGUAAACCACCGUCGGAAAUUGCCUCACGACGGUUUCAGUGAUCCAAAACCCUCCAAGUUUACACCAUAGAACCCUUAUCCCUUCCUCAUUACGGAUCUCCAAUAAGUUUUCCUCGAAUCAUUGCCAAAUCCUUCGAAUCUUAGAUCGAAGAAUUUGGUCAGAAUCCUAACCGUUCCAAAUCACUACAAACUCAUACUCUAUAAUCCUUACCCAUAUUUAAACGCUAAAUUACCCUUAGUCCCUUCCAAAUCGAUCUUAAUUUGCCCGAAUUUUAGAUCUUAGAUUCAGAAACCCUAAAAAAACCUCUGUCUGAGUCGAUUAUAGGGUUUUAAUGGAUCCAUUCUGAAUGAGUUGACUGCUUUUGAUGAGAGCAGUUGACUCAUAUGGAUUGGACCUAUUAUUCGAGUUACCUAACUCCGACCAAGUCCUCCGGUUCCAGUUGGUUCAAUUACGGGUAACUUUCUGAACUUGUUCUUUCUAUCUCCUUUUCCUUUUUCUUUUCCCUUGGCCAUCUUCUUCUCCGUUGUUUUGAUUGAUUUUUCAUGGUUUGGUCUAGCUGCAAUUGCAUGCUCUAGGUUUUUUGUUCUGCAUUGUUGUCAUUAUGAACUAAUCAUUCUAGUUUUGGUUUUACUUUAGUUUAAUUUGAUCAGUUUCCCACAUGAUUUCGUUUCGUUCUUCAGAUUUCUUUUCCCCUCCCCUAAUUAUAUUUUUGAUUAGUUGCACAUUUAGGUUUAAGUUAAGACUUCAUUCACAUGUCUAUUUGUUUUUGAUUAAUUAGAAACAUUGCAUGAGUUUAAAUUAGGCACUACUGUUUUCCUUUAUUGUCUUCCUGUUACCUCUUUUCGUUUUCUUUUUUUAGAUGCCAUGAUUCAAUCUUUAGUUUAGAGAACAUCUUUUUUUUAUGGAAUAAUUUAGAUUUUAGUUCUAGGUGGAAGCCUCAUGGUUCUUCUAGGCUUUUUGAUUUAGAUUUCUGAUCUCCUUAGGUUUGUUUGUGUUGGUCCUAAUCUGAAAACCAUUCGAAACUUUAGGAACCUAUUUGAAUUAGAAAAGUUUGUCAAAGCUGAGAUAAUGAGUAACCUAAAGGGUAAAAAAGGGUUUAUAACUACGCUAGAAAUCAGAAAUUUCCUAGAAAAAAGAUACAACUGUCCUAGCUGUUACAUAAAGAUGUUGAAAUAUAGGACAGUUAUACCAAGGACAGUACUAUUAUUCCCUAGGAUAAGGAAUAUGCUUAAAAGAUACCCUCCACAAGGCAUCCUAUAUAUAUAGUUUCGCUCACUCUGAAAUUUUAUUAUUGAUCAACAUUUUACUGCAUAAAAAAGUUCCAUUUUAUUUCUGAAAAUUCAAAUUCCAAAAAUCUUUUUAAAAAAACUCCAAAACCUCUCCUUUUGUUAUCCCCCACAAGUAUUAAACAUGGUUUGAAAAUAGAGGGUUUUUCUUGGUGUAUGAUCUGGGGUUUUUGGUUUUAGCUGGUUGUUUUGGAGUCUAAAGUUUUGAUUCUUUGGGUUUGGUGAAGUUGUUUGUUCAUUGUUGCUGUUUUCUGCUUCUGCUCUUCCUCUAAUAGUCUCAUCUUCAUUUUGGUUAUUACUUAACUACUAUUUCAAGGUACAUAUGACCCUUUCGUUAUUUGAUUCCUACGUAAUUGAAACUUCAUAUGAAUAUAAGUUGUUUUCUUUUGUUUGACACCGUUUGUGUAUGUUUCUUAAGUUUUAUAUGUUGAAACUACAGUAGUGCUAAAGCUAUUCUUUCUCUCAAAAUGCAUGAGUUUCUUUAUCUAUAGCUUAUGUCAUAAUGUUUAGUUUCUUUGUUAGACCUUAGUACUAAUUAUCUUAUGAUAUAUAUGCAUUUAUGUUUUUUUUUUGCACUAAUUAAAACCUGUUCAAGCUCCCCUCCUUAAAAUGAUGCUUGUCCUUGAGCCUGACUCUUACAUGGUCAGGUUCAUGGAUUGAACUUCCCCUUUCCUUACCCUUGAGUCUAUUCCAGUAUUCCACUAAGGCAACAUGCCAUGAUUUUGAGCUUGAAACCUAUAUUGGUUUAUGAGUUUAAUCCUUAACAUGGUUAAACCCAUGAAUCACUAUUAUUUUUUUUUUUGCAUUAUGUGUUUAAGUUUUGGGCCUAACAAUAUAGUAUUUAGUAUAAAUGAAGUAAUUUUGUGAAUCUGACAUUUUAACAUGAUCAUAUCCAUGAGAUACUUAAAGAAUAUAGGCUGAUUUGGCAAUAAGAAACUUCAGGUUGGGAGCCUAAGUAAACAACUUGUGAGAAAUAGCUCAAUAGUUGGCCUCUUGCAGGUCUUAUGCUUUGGUUUUGAAGAAGUUGAUAGAAGGAAUUUUGAAACCAGAAGAAACUUUCAUCUUUUUUUUACCUUACUUUUUUUAGAACUUCUUUUUUAGAUUCUAGAUGUUAGGAUACUGAUUCAUUAGGAGUAAAAGUUUUAUUCUAUAAAUUCUUGCACUUACAAUAUUGUAAACGGACCGUUAAAUUUUAAUUUAAGCUUAAUUAUUAGCAGGAUUUCAAUAGUAGAUUUUCCUUUUACUAUGGACAUGUUUAGGGAUGUAUGUAAAUAUUAAACUGGGUUGCACUUGCAAGCAGGCCAAGUCUUGGGCUCAUUCGAGCAAGUCUGACCUGGACAUUGGGCCUGGGCAGUUAGACUCACAGCUUGAACCAACAACAAAUGUGUUUCUUUCACUAAUUACCAAUGCAUCUCUGAUGUAUCUCGCAAAUUAAUAUAGUAGAAUUAAUUUUCAAACUAGCCUUGUGCUUUGAUUUUUCUUUCAAGAAUGACUUCGUUUCAGCCUUUCUUCACUAAUUUGUAUAUAUUGUAUAAAAGGUAGAUAGCUCCAGAUGUAGAUAUCCAUAAUAGGCCCGCCUGGUAUG
Molecule: long non-coding RNA, 2959 nt
Filed under: Nicotiana benthamiana
Lineage: Eukaryota; Viridiplantae; Streptophyta; Magnoliopsida; Solanales; Solanaceae
Description: long non-coding RNA (NBEN_LNC019875)
Source: RNAcentral